Molecule: ribosomal RNA, 406 nt
Filed under: uncultured bacterium
Lineage: Bacteria
Description: partial 16S ribosomal RNA
Rfam family: Bacterial small subunit ribosomal RNA
Source: RNAcentral
AUUGAACGCUGGCGGCAGGCCUAACACAUGCAAGUCGAGCGAGUGGCGGACGGGUGAGUAAUGUAUCGGAACGUGCCCGGUGGCGGGGGAUAACUAAUGGAAACAGUUGCUAAUACCGCAUACUAUCGGAUAGGCCGAUAUAGGAGUAGCUUGUUGGUGGGGUAAAGGCUCACCAAGGCGACGAUCCGUAGCUGGUCUGAGAGGAGGAACAGCCACACUGGGACUGAGACACGGUCCAGACUCCUACGGGAGGCAGCAGUGGGGAAUAUUGGACAAUGGGCGAAAGCCUGAUCCAGCCAUGCCGCGUGUAUGAAGAAGGUCUUCGGGUUGUAAAGUACUUUUGGCAGAGAAGCGGUAUCUGCAGAAUAAGCACCGGCUAACUACGUGCCAGCAGCCGCGGUAAUAC